UUACUAUUAAUGUAAACUGCCUGGGAC
Molecule: non-coding RNA, 27 nt
Filed under: Homo sapiens (human)
Lineage: Eukaryota; Metazoa; Chordata; Mammalia; Primates; Hominidae
Source: RNAcentral